RNAcentral lists this ribosomal RNA (528 nucleotides) under uncultured bacterium. RNAcentral's name for it is "bacterial SSU rRNA". It matches the Rfam family "Bacterial small subunit ribosomal RNA", at positions 982 to 1502 of the family's 1533-position model. The record is from RNAcentral.
UGACAUUGAUCGCCAUUCCAAGAAAUUGGAAGUUCUUCCUUCGGGAAGACGAGAAAACAGGUGGUGCACGGCUGUCGUCAGCUCGUGUCGUGAGAUGUUGGGGUUAAGUCCCGCAACGAGCGCAACCCCUAUCUUAUGUUGCCAGCACGUUAUGGUGGGGACUCAUGAGAGAUUUUCCGCGGACAACGCGGAGGAAGGUGGGGAUGACGUCAAGUCAUCAUGCCCCUUAUGACCUGGGCUACACACGUACUACAAUGGGUGUCAACAAAGAGAAGCGAAACCGCGAGGUGGAGCGAACCUCAAAAACACACCCCCAGUUCAGAUUGCAGGCUGCAACCCGCCUGCAUGAAGUAGGAAUCGCUAGUAAUCGCGGGUCAGCAUACCGCGGUGAAUACGUUCCCGGGCCUUGUACACACCGCCCGUCACACUAUGAGAGUCGGAAACACCCGAAGCCGGUGAGGUAACCGCAAGGAGCCAGCCGUCGAAGGUGGAGCUGAUGAUUGGAGUGAAGUCGUAACAAGGUAGCCG